GGCUGAGUUAUAGGUAAUAAACUGUAAAUUUAUUUAGGAAAUUUAAAUUUCUUUUACCA
This 59-nucleotide transfer RNA is filed under the name Carabus changeonleei. RNAcentral describes it as "tRNA-Tyr". Lineage: Eukaryota; Metazoa; Arthropoda; Insecta; Coleoptera; Carabidae. The record is from RNAcentral.